GAUGAACGCUGGCGGCGUGCCUAAUACAUGCAAGUCGAGCGAACAGACGAGGAGCUUGCUCCUCUGACGUUAGCGGCGGACGGGUGAGUAACACGUGGAUAACCUACCUAUAAGACUGGGAUAACUUCGGGAAGCCGGAGCUAAUACCGGAUAACAUGUUGAACCGCAUGGUUCAACAGUGAAAGACGGUUUUGCUGUCACUUAUAGAUGGAUCCGCGUCGCAUUAGCUAGUUGGUAAGGUAACGGCUUACCAAGGCAACGAUGCGUAGCCGACCUGAGAGGGUGAUCGGCCACACUGGAACUGAGACACGGUCCAGACUCCUACGGGAGGCAGCAGUAGGGAAUCUUCCGCAAUGGGCGAAAGCCUGACGGAGCAACGCCGCGUGAGUGAAGAAGGUCUUCGGAUCGUAAAACUCUGUUAUUAGGGAAGAACAAAUGUGUAAGUAACUAUGCACGUCUUGACGGUACCUAAUGAGAAAGCCACGGCUAACUACGUG
RNAcentral lists this ribosomal RNA (497 nucleotides) under uncultured bacterium. Its description in RNAcentral is "partial 16S ribosomal RNA". It matches the Rfam family "Bacterial small subunit ribosomal RNA", at positions 28 to 507 of the family's 1533-position model. The record is from RNAcentral.